This 447-nucleotide ribosomal RNA is filed under the name uncultured bacterium. RNAcentral's name for it is "partial 16S ribosomal RNA". It matches the Rfam family "Bacterial small subunit ribosomal RNA", at positions 29 to 523 of the family's 1533-position model. The record is from RNAcentral.
AACGAACGCUGGCGGCAGGCCUAACACAUGCAAGUCGAACGCAUCGCAAGAUGAGUGGCGCACGGGUGAGUAACACGUGGGAAUGUACCCUUUGGUUCGGAAUAACGUUUGGAAACGAACGCUAAUACCGGAUGAGCCCUACGGGGGAAAGAUUUAUCGCCAAAGGAGCAGCCCGCGUCUGAUUAGCUAGUUGGUGGGGUAAGGGCCUACCAAGGCGACGAUCAGUAGCUGGGCGGAGAGGUUGGUCAGCCACCCUGGGCCUGAGACACGGCCCAGACUCCUACGGGAGGCAGCAGGGGGAAAUAUUGGACAAGGGGCAAAAGCCUGAUCCAGCAAUGCCGCGUGAGUGAGGAAGGCCUUAGGGUUGUAAAGCUCUUUUCCCAGGGAUGAUAAUGACAGUACCUGGAGAAUAAGCUCCGGCUAACUCCGUGCCAGCCGCCGCCGUAA